Molecule: ribosomal RNA, 468 nt
Filed under: uncultured bacterium
Lineage: Bacteria
Description: partial 16S ribosomal RNA
Rfam family: Bacterial small subunit ribosomal RNA
Source: RNAcentral
GACGAACGCUGGCGGCGUGCUUAACACAUGCAAGUCGAACGGAAAGGCCCUGCUUUUGUGGGGUGCUCGAGUGGCGAACGGGUGAGUAACACGUGAGUAACCUGCCCUUGACUUUGGGAUAACUUCAGGAAACUGGGGCUAAUACCGGAUAGGAGCUCCUGCUGCAUGGUGGGGGUUGGAAAGUUUCGGCGGUUGGGGAUGGACUCGCGGCUUAUCAGCUUGUUGGUGGGGUAGUGGCUUACCAAGGCUUUGACGGGUAGCCGGCCUGAGAGGGUGACCGGGCACGUUGGGAGUGAGAUGCGGCACAGACGCCUACGGGAGGCAGCAGUGGGGAAGGUUGAACAAUGGGCUGUAGCCAGAUGCAGCAACGUCGCGUGGGGGAGGCCGGCCUGCGGGGUGAAAGACGCUAUCGCAGGUGACGAAGCGUGAGUGACGGUAAUGGGUAAAGAAGCACCGGCUAACUACGUG